Molecule: long non-coding RNA, 1083 nt
Organism: Photinus pyralis (common eastern firefly)
Lineage: Eukaryota; Metazoa; Arthropoda; Insecta; Coleoptera; Lampyridae
Exons: 6
Source: RefSeq, a predicted model, not a curated record
AGGGCCGGUUGUAUAAAACUUUACUACAACCGAAGGUUGAACAACCGACGGUUCAAUUCGACCUUCGGUUGGAAAACGCAGGCGUUGUAUAAAACAAAAUAUAUCGGCGUUUGGGUAACCUGGAGUUGAAAAAAAAAAUUGUAAAGUUGGUCAUAGUGCAGGUUGGAAUUCAACCAAUCACGUAAGAGAUGUGUUUGACAGGUAUAAAUAUAAACAGCUGAUUUAAAUUGUGGAUUUCUAACCAAAAAGUACACUUGUGAAUUGCGAUUUUUUUAUCAGUUUGUCUUAUUGUUGUUCAUAUAAUAUAAAUUUUGUUGACUCGAGAUUGGUGUUGAAGUUACCCUUUGUUACAAGAUGAGUGUACCACGUGCAAAGCGUGUUAUCUUUAGUGAUAAUGACAUGAAUAUGUUAGUGGACUUGGUGUAUAAGUAUAAACAUAUAAUUGAAUGUAAGAAAACAGAUGCACUGACAUGGAAAGACAAGGAUGCAACAUGGAUAAAAAUAUCAGAUGCUUUUAAUGCAAGCGUCAUGGAGAAGAAGACACCUGAGCAACUACGUACCAAGUACGACAAUUUGAAAAAGGAUGCAAGGCGAUACUUUGCAAAGCAGAGGCAAGAUAUUUAUAGAACAGAUCAAUAAAAUUGCCGAGAUGAUGAUGACAAAAUUGGAGCUUAACGAUGGAACAGAAGCCAACUUGCACAGAUUCAAACAUCGUCGACUGCAACUUGCAAGUUACCUAGUAACUUUUCAACCGCAACAAUGUUGAACGUUAUGUCUUUCUGCUUUUGGUCGUUCGCUAUGGUUAUCUUCGUGACAAAUCCCGAAGAAGCCGAUAUGGUUAUGAAUCCAGAUACCGCCCUACUGAUGUGUAUAACACCAAGCCACAUCCUUCGGGUAACUCUGAACCUGAGCACCGUAAGAAAGUACUUAAGACUGUGCCGAUAUGUAUGGUGAAACGAUUACCCAUAUUAUUUAUUUAUAUGAGCUUUAUAAGCUUGCCCCAAAUCAAUGUGAUAUUAGAAUAAGAGUAGCUGUUAGUAUGAAGCAAAUACAUGUAAUAAAUGUAUAUUUAUUAACGACUCA